CGUGUAGGACGGCGGGACAAGUCAGAUGUGAAAGCCCCCGGCUUAACCGGGGAACUGCAUUUGAAACUGUUUUGCUUGAGUGCGAGAGGGGGUAGUGGAAUUCCCAGUGUAGCGGUGAAAUGCGUAGAUAUUGGGAAGAACACCAGUAGCGAAGGCGGCUACCAGGCUCGCAACUGACGCUAAGGCGCGAAAGCGUGGGGAGCAACA
RNAcentral lists this ribosomal RNA (207 nucleotides) under uncultured bacterium. RNAcentral describes it as "partial 16S ribosomal RNA". It matches the Rfam family "Bacterial small subunit ribosomal RNA", at positions 568 to 773 of the family's 1533-position model. The record is from RNAcentral.